RNAcentral lists this ribosomal RNA (776 nucleotides) under uncultured Providencia sp. Its description in RNAcentral is "bacterial SSU rRNA". It matches the Rfam family "Bacterial small subunit ribosomal RNA", at positions 723 to 1502 of the family's 1533-position model. The record is from RNAcentral. Lineage: Bacteria; Pseudomonadati; Pseudomonadota; Gammaproteobacteria; Enterobacterales; Morganellaceae.
GGCCCCCUGGACAAGACUGACGCUCAGGUGCGAAAGCGUGGGGAGCAAACAGGAUUAGAUACCUGGUAGUCACGCUGUAAACGAUGUCGAUUUGGAGGUUGUUCCCUUGAGGAGUGGCUUCCGGAGCUAACGCGUUAAAUCGACCGCUGGGGAGUACGGCCGCAAGGUUAAAACUCAAAUGAAUUGACGGGGGCCCGCACAAGCGGUGGAGCAUGUGGUUUAAUUCGAUGCAACGCGAAGAACCUUACCUACUCUUGACAUCCAGAGAAUUUAGCAGAGAUGCUUUAGUGCCUUCGGGAACUCUGAGACAGGUGCUGCAUGGCUGUCGUCAGCUCGUGUUGUGAAAUGUUGGGUUAAGUCCCGCAACGAGCGCAACCCUUAUCCUUUGUUGCCAGCACAUUAUGGUGGGAACUCAAAGGAGACUGCCGGUGAUAAACCGGAGGAAGGUGGGGAUGACGUCAAGUCAUCAUGGCCCUUACGACCAGGGCUACACACGUGCUACAAUGGCGUAUACAAAGAGAAGCGACCUCGCGAGAGCAAGCGGAACUCAUAAAGUACGUCGUAGUCCGGAUUGGAGUCUGCAACUCGACUCCAUGAAGUCGGAAUCGCUAGUAAUCGUAGAUCAGAAUGCUACGGUGAAUACGUUCCCGGGCCUUGUACACACCGCCCGUCACACCAUGGGAGUGGGUUGCAAAAGAAGUAGGUAGCUUAACCUUCGGGAGGGCGCUUACCACUUUGUGAUUCAUGACUGGGGUGAAGUCGUAACAAGGUAACCA